RNAcentral lists this ribosomal RNA (229 nucleotides) under uncultured bacterium. RNAcentral's name for it is "partial 16S ribosomal RNA". It matches the Rfam family "Bacterial small subunit ribosomal RNA", at positions 568 to 796 of the family's 1533-position model. The record is from RNAcentral.
UAUGUAGGUGGUCUUGUAAGUUGGAUGUGAAAUCCUUUGGCUUAACCAAAGAACUGCAUUCAAAACUGCUUGACUUGAGUUUGGAAGAGGAGAGUGGAAUUCCCAGUGUAAGAGUGAAAUCUGUAGAUAUUGGGAGGAACACCAGUGGCGAAAGCGACUCUCUGGUCCAAAACUGACACUGAAAUACGAAAGCCAGAGGAGCAAACAGGAUUAGAUACCCUGGUAGUCC